RNAcentral lists this ribosomal RNA (439 nucleotides) under uncultured bacterium. Its description in RNAcentral is "partial 16S ribosomal RNA". It matches the Rfam family "Bacterial small subunit ribosomal RNA", at positions 339 to 795 of the family's 1533-position model. The record is from RNAcentral.
CUACGGGGCGCAGCAGUGAGGAAUAUUGCACAAUGGGGGGAACCCUGAUGCAGCAACGCCGCGUGGAGGAUGACGCAUUCCGGUGUGUAAACUCCUUUUAUAUGUCAAGAAAAUGACGGUAGCAUAUGAAUAAGCACCGGCUAACUCCGUGCCAGCAGCCGCGGUAAUACGGAGGGUGCAAGCGUUACUCGGAAUCACUGGGCGUAAAGGACGCGUAGGCGGGCUUGUAAGUCAGGUGUGAAAUCCUACAGCUUAACUGUAGAACUGCACUUGAAACUACGAGCCUAGAGUAUGGGAGGGGGAGAUGGAAUUAGUGGUGUAGGGGUAAAAUCCGUAGAUAUCACUAGGAAUACCUAAAGCGAAGGCGAUCUCCUGGAACAUAACUGACGCUAAGGCGUGAAAGCGUGGGGAGCAAACAGGAUUAGAUACCCUUGUAGUC